AAAUUGAAGAGUUUGAUCAUGGCUCAGAUUGAACGCUGGCGGCAGGCCUAACACAUGCAAGUCGAACGGUAACAGGAAUCAGCUUGCUGAUUCGCUGACGAGUGGCGGACGGGUGAGUAAUGUCUGGGAAACUGCCUGAUGGAGGGGGAUAACUACUGGAAACGGUAGCUAAUACCGCAUAACGUCGCAAGACCAAAGAGGGGGACCUUCGGGCCUCUUGCCAUCGGAUGUGCCCAGAUGGGAUUAGCUAGUAGGUGGGGUAACGGCUCACCUAGGCGACGAUCCCUAGCUGGUCUGAGAGGAUGACCAGCCACACUGGAACUGAGACACGGUCCAGACUCCUACGGGAGGCAGCAGUGGGGAAUAUUGCACAAUGGGCGCAAGCCUGAUGCAGCCAUGCCGCGUGUAUGAAGAAGGCCUUCGGGUUGUAAAGUACUUUCAGCGGGGAGGAAGGGAGUAAAGUUAAUACCUUUGCUCAUUGACGUUACCCGCAGAAGAAGCACCGGCUAACUCCGUGCCAGCAGCCGCGGUAAUACG
This 537-nucleotide ribosomal RNA is filed under the name Escherichia fergusonii. Its description in RNAcentral is "bacterial SSU rRNA". It matches the Rfam family "Bacterial small subunit ribosomal RNA", at positions 1 to 527 of the family's 1533-position model. Lineage: Bacteria; Pseudomonadati; Pseudomonadota; Gammaproteobacteria; Enterobacterales; Enterobacteriaceae. The record is from RNAcentral.